Molecule: ribosomal RNA, 618 nt
Filed under: Escherichia coli
Lineage: Bacteria; Pseudomonadati; Pseudomonadota; Gammaproteobacteria; Enterobacterales; Enterobacteriaceae
Also listed under: 5 other names
Description: bacterial LSU rRNA
Rfam family: Bacterial large subunit ribosomal RNA
Source: RNAcentral
AUAAUGGGUCAGCGACUUAUAUUCUGUAGCAAGGUUAACCGAAUAGGGGAGCCGAAGGGAAACCGAGUCUUAACUGGGCGUUAAGUUGCAGGGUAUAGACCCGAAACCCGGUGAUCUAGCCAUGGGCAGGUUGAAGGUUGGGUAACACUAACUGGAGGACCGAACCGACUAAUGUUGAAAAAUUAGCGGAUGACUUGUGGCUGGGGGUGAAAGGCCAAUCAAACCGGGAGAUAGCUGGUUCUCCCCGAAAGCUAUUUAGGUAGCGCCUCGUGAAUUCAUCUCCGGGGGUAGAGCACUGUUUCGGCAAGGGGGUCAUCCCGACUUACCAACCCGAUGCAAACUGCGAAUACCGGAGAAUGUUAUCACGGGAGACACACGGCGGGUGCUAACGUCCGUCGUGAAGAGGGAAACAACCCAGACCGCCAGCUAAGGUCCCAAAGUCAUGGUUAAGUGGGAAACGAUGUGGGAAGGCCCAGACAGCCAGGAUGUUGGCUUAGAAGCAGCCAUCAUUUAAAGAAAGCGUAAUAGCUCACUGGUCGAGUCGGCCUGCGCGGAAGAUGUAACGGGGCUAAACCAUGCACCGAAGCUGCGGCAGCGACGCUGAUGCGUUGUUGGGUA